This 476-nucleotide ribosomal RNA is filed under the name Centropyge bicolor (bicolor angelfish). Its description in RNAcentral is "partial small subunit ribosomal RNA". It matches the Rfam family "Bacterial small subunit ribosomal RNA", at positions 788 to 1491 of the family's 1533-position model. Lineage: Eukaryota; Metazoa; Chordata; Actinopteri; Pomacanthidae. The record is from RNAcentral.
CACUAUGCCUAGCCGUAAACAUAGACAGUACACAUACCUAACUGUCCGCCCGGGGACUACGAGCAUCAGCUUAAAACCCAAAGGACUUGGCGGUGCUUUAAACCCCCCUAGAGGAGCCUGUUCUAGAACCGAUAAUCCCCGUUCAACCUCACCCUUCCUUGUUCUUUCCGCCUAUAUACCGCCGUCGUCAGUUUACCCUGUGAAGGUAAAACAGUAAGCACAAUCGGCACAGCCCAAAACGCCAGGUCGAGGUGUAGCGUAUGGAAGGGGAAGAAAUGGGCUACAUUCCUUAAUACUAAGGCAUACGAAUGAUAUGUUGAAACACAUAACUGAAGGAGGAUUUAGCAGUAAGCAGGAAGUAGAGUGUCCCGCUGAAAUCGGCUCUGAAGCGCGUACACACCGCCCGUCACUCUCCCCGAACUAAAGUUUAUUAUUUAACUAAAACCCUAUACCUGUAAAGGGGAGGCAAGUCGUAA